This 31-nucleotide non-coding RNA is filed under the name Rattus norvegicus (Norway rat). Lineage: Eukaryota; Metazoa; Chordata; Mammalia; Rodentia; Muridae. The record is from RNAcentral.
UACAUGUGCUGGAAAAGAAGCCAUGGGGUGU